UCAAAAACAUAGCCCCCCGAAAUUUAUGGGGGGUGCAGCCUGCCCAGUGGAAUAAUUUUCUUAACGGCCGCGGUAUCUUGACCGUGCAAAGGUAGCAUAAUCACUUGUCUCUUAAAUGGGGACCUGUAUGAAUGGCUUUUCAUCCCUUAGCUGUCUCCCUUCUUAGCCACCUAAACUUCUAUUCACGUGAAGAAGCGUGAUUUUUCAAGAUAGACGAGAAGACCCUGUCGAGCUUUAGUUAACGCUAAAACUAACCCUUCCUUUUUAAGGAACAACAUAUUUAGCCUAAGCUUUGGUUGGGGCAACCAUGGAGAACAAAAACCCUCCAGUUUAUUAGGAAGAAAACAAUUCCCCUAAAAACUUAUAAAGAACCAGUUUCUCUGGAAAACGAAAAAAGUUACCGCAGGGAUAACAGCGUUAUCUUCUCUGAGAGCUCUUAUUGACGAGAAGGAUUGCGACCUCGAUGUUGGA
RNAcentral lists this ribosomal RNA (471 nucleotides) under Parastichopus regalis. RNAcentral's name for it is "partial 16S ribosomal RNA". It matches the Rfam family "Bacterial large subunit ribosomal RNA", at positions 1807 to 2536 of the family's 2925-position model. Lineage: Eukaryota; Metazoa; Echinodermata; Holothuroidea; Aspidochirotida; Stichopodidae. The record is from RNAcentral.